This 136-nucleotide small nucleolar RNA is filed under the name Cyprinodon variegatus (sheepshead minnow). RNAcentral's name for it is "Small nucleolar RNA SNORA30/SNORA37 family (ENSCVAG00000015654.1)". The record is from RNAcentral. Lineage: Eukaryota; Metazoa; Chordata; Actinopteri; Cyprinodontiformes; Cyprinodontidae.
ACAGCAUCUUAAACAGGUCGUGGUCUCUGGGCAGUAGACCAGGAUUUGGUAGCUGGUGCUAAAAUCAAUUCUCUUGUGCAACAGUCCCACUAGCAACCACUGUGCUUUUUGGGACUACUACUCGAGAGAUACAGAC